Molecule: long non-coding RNA, 251 nt
Organism: Bufo bufo (common toad)
Lineage: Eukaryota; Metazoa; Chordata; Amphibia; Anura; Bufonidae
Exons: 3
Source: RefSeq, a predicted model, not a curated record
CUGGAACUCCUGGGACUCCAUCUGUGACUACGGGAAAGGAGUAUUUGCAACACGACUGUAUGGAAAGAAGAUGUGCGUGGUGACAAAGAUCGAUGAGACUGUUUUCCCCAGCCUGGAAGUCCUUAAACAGAAUCCCGUCAAGACCACAACACAGCUCUUCAAGUUUAACAUUAACCAAGUUCCCAUUGCUAACAUUGGCAUUUAUGGUGUCCAUAUUGAAGCCCUGUGUCAUGGAAUCCCAUCCUACACUG